AGCGUAGACGGCGCAGCAAGUCUGAUGUGAAAGGCAGGGGCUUAACCCCUGGACUGCAUUGGAAACUGCUGUGCUUGAGUGCCGGAGGGGUAAGCGGAAUUCCUAGUGUAGCGGUGAAAUGCGUAGAUAUUGGGAGGAACACCAGUGGCGAAGGCGCCUUUCUGGACUGUGUCUGACACUGAGAUGCGAAAGCUAGGGGAGCGAACG
RNAcentral lists this ribosomal RNA (207 nucleotides) under uncultured bacterium. RNAcentral's name for it is "partial 16S ribosomal RNA". It matches the Rfam family "Bacterial small subunit ribosomal RNA", at positions 567 to 774 of the family's 1533-position model. The record is from RNAcentral.